RNAcentral lists this ribosomal RNA (168 nucleotides) under uncultured soil bacterium. RNAcentral's name for it is "partial 16S ribosomal RNA". It matches the Rfam family "Bacterial small subunit ribosomal RNA", at positions 339 to 524 of the family's 1533-position model. The record is from RNAcentral.
CUACGGGAGGCAGCAGUGGGGAAUCUUAGACAAUGGGGGCAACCCUGAUCUAGCGAUGCCGCGUGGACGAUGAAGGCCUUAGGGUUGUAAAGUCCUUUCAGCUGGGAAGAUAAUGACGGUACCAGCAGAAGAAGCCCCGGCUAACUCCGUGCCAGCAGCCGCGGUAAU